GACCGUUUGGCGCAAUGGUAGCGCAUCCGCCUCCUACUCUCUCUAGUGUAAAAAGCGGAAGGCUGCGGGUUCGAGCCCCGUGAUGGUCG
Molecule: transfer RNA, 89 nt
Filed under: Aureobasidium melanogenum CBS 110374
Lineage: Eukaryota; Fungi; Ascomycota; Dothideomycetes; Dothideales; Saccotheciaceae
Rfam family: tRNA
About the family: Transfer RNA (tRNA) molecules are approximately 80 nucleotides in length.
Source: Rfam by way of RNAcentral